UACGGGGGGGGCAAGCGUUGUUCGGAAUUACUGGGCGUAAAGGGUUCGUAGGUGGCUCGCUAAGUCAGACGUGAAAUCCCUCGGCUUAACCGGGGAACUGCGUCUGAUACUGGAUGGCUUGAGUUUGGGAGAGGGAUGCGGAAUUCCAGGUGUAGCGGUGAAAUGCGUAGAUAUCUGGAGGAACACCGGUGGCGAAGGCGGCAUCCUGGACCAACACUGACGCUGAGUGAGCGAAAGCCAGGGGAGCAAACGGG
RNAcentral lists this ribosomal RNA (254 nucleotides) under uncultured bacterium. RNAcentral's name for it is "partial 16S ribosomal RNA". It matches the Rfam family "Bacterial small subunit ribosomal RNA", at positions 524 to 776 of the family's 1533-position model. The record is from RNAcentral.